GUCAGUGGAGUCCUCUCUCAU
Molecule: unclassified non-coding RNA, 21 nt
Filed under: Mus musculus (house mouse)
Lineage: Eukaryota; Metazoa; Chordata; Mammalia; Rodentia; Muridae
Description: oocyte_clustered_small_RNA7196
Source: RNAcentral